GCUGGGGCUGGGUGGUUGUGGCAGGCCCACCUCGGGUAUGCAAAGCUCUGACAGUGUUUCACUUGCUACCCUUGGUCUGCUUACCACACUGCCAGUUCUGC
Molecule: microRNA precursor, 101 nt
Organism: Gorilla gorilla gorilla (western lowland gorilla)
Lineage: Eukaryota; Metazoa; Chordata; Mammalia; Primates; Hominidae
Source: Ensembl